This 2237-nucleotide ribosomal RNA is filed under the name Escherichia coli. RNAcentral describes it as "partial 23S ribosomal RNA". It matches the Rfam family "Bacterial large subunit ribosomal RNA", at positions 418 to 2640 of the family's 2925-position model. The record is from RNAcentral. Lineage: Bacteria; Pseudomonadati; Pseudomonadota; Gammaproteobacteria; Enterobacterales; Enterobacteriaceae.
CGGGACACGUGGUAUCCUGUCUGAAUAUGGGGGGACCAUCCUCCAAGGCUAAAUACUCCUGACUGACCGAUAGUGAACCAGUACCGUGAGGGAAAGGCGAAAAGAACCCCGGCGAGGGGAGUGAAAAAGAACCUGAAACCGUGUACGUACAAGCAGUGGGAGCACGCUUAGGCGUGUGACUGCGUACCUUUUGUAUAAUGGGUCAGCGACUUAUAUUCUGUAGCAAGGUUAACCGAAUAGGGGAGCCGAAGGGAAACCGAGUCUUAACUGGGCGUUAAGUUGCAGGGUAUAGACCCGAAACCCGGUGAUCUAGCCAUGGGCAGGUUGAAGGUUGGGUAACACUAACUGGAGGACCGAACCGACUAAUGUUGAAAAAUUAGCGGAUGACUUGUGGCUGGGGGUGAAAGGCCAAUCAAACCGGGAGAUAGCUGGUUCUCCCCGAAAGCUAUUUAGGUAGCGCCUCGUGAAUUCAUCUCCGGGGGUAGAGCACUGUUUCGGCAAGGGGGUCAUCCCGACUUACCAACCCGAUGCAAACUGCGAAUACCGGAGAAUGUUAUCACGGGAGACACACGGCGGGUGCUAACGUCCGUCGUGAAGAGGGAAACAACCCAGACCGCCAGCUAAGGUCCCAAAGUCAUGGUUAAGUGGGAAACGAUGUGGGAAGGCCCAGACAGCCAGGAUGUUGGCUUAGAAGCAGCCAUCAUUUAAAGAAAGCGUAAUAGCUCACUGGUCGAGUCGGCCUGCGCGGAAGAUGUAACGGGGCUAAACCAUGCACCGAAGCUGCGGCAGCGACGCUGAUGCGUUGUUGGGUAGGGGAGCGUUCUGUAAGCCUGCGAAGGUGUGCUGUGAGGCAUGCUGGAGGUAUCAGAAGUGCGAAUGCUGACAUAAGUAACGAUAAAGCGGGUGAAAAGCCCGCUCGCCGGAAGACCAAGGGUUCCUGUCCAACGUUAAUCGGGGCAGGGUGAGUCGACCCCUAAGGCGAGGCCGAAAGGCGUAGUCGAUGGGAAACAGGUUAAUAUUCCUGUACUUGGUGUUACUGCGAAGGGGGGACGGAGAAGGCUAUGUUGGCCGGGCGACGGUUGUCCCGGUUUAAGCGUGUAGGCUGGUUUUCCAGGCAAAUCCGGAAAAUCAAGGCUGAGGCGUGAUGACGAGGCACUACGGUGCUGAAGCAACAAAUGCCCUGCUUCCAGGAAAAGCCUCUAAGCAUCAGGUAACAUCAAAUCGUACCCCAAACCGACACAGGUGGUCAGGUAGAGAAUACCAAGGCGCUUGAGAGAACUCGGGUGAAGGAACUAGGCAAAAUGGUGCCGUAACUUCGGGAGAAGGCACGCUGAUAUGUAGGUGAAGUCCCUCGCGGAUGGAGCUGAAAUCAGUCGAAGAUACCAGCUGGCUGCAACUGUUUAUUAAAAACACAGCACUGUGCAAACACGAAAGUGGACGUAUACGGUGUGACGCCUGCCCGGUGCCGGAAGGUUAAUUGAUGGGGUUAGCGCAAGCGAAGCUCUUGAUCGAAGCCCCGGUAAACGGCGGCCGUAACUAUAACGGUCCUAAGGUAGCGAAAUUCCUUGUCGGGUAAGUUCCGACCUGCACGAAUGGCGUAAUGAUGGCCAGGCUGUCUCCACCCGAGACUCAGUGAAAUUGAACUCGCUGUGAAGAUGCAGUGUACCCGCGGCAAGACGGAAAGACCCCGUGAACCUUUACUAUAGCUUGACACUGAACAUUGAGCCUUGAUGUGUAGGAUAGGUGGGAGGCUUUGAAGUGUGGACGCCAGUCUGCAUGGAGCCGACCUUGAAAUACCACCCUUUAAUGUUUGAUGUUCUAACGUUGACCCGUAAUCCGGGUUGCGGACAGUGUCUGGUGGGUAGUUUGACUGGGGCGGUCUCCUCCUAAAGAGUAACGGAGGAGCACGAAGGUUGGCUAAUCCUGGUCGGACAUCAGGAGGUUAGUGCAAUGGCAUAAGCCAGCUUGACUGCGAGCGUGACGGCGCGAGCAGGUGCGAAAGCAGGUCAUAGUGAUCCGGUGGUUCUGAAUGGAAGGGCCAUCGCUCAACGGAUAAAAGGUACUCCGGGGAUAACAGGCUGAUACCGCCCAAGAGUUCAUAUCGACGGCGGUGUUUGGCACCUCGAUGUCGGCUCAUCACAUCCUGGGGCUGAAGUAGGUCCCAAGGGUAUGGCUGUUCGCCAUUUAAAGUGGUACGCGAGCUGGGUUUAGAACGUCGUGAGACAGUUCGGUCCCUA